Molecule: ribosomal RNA, 1887 nt
Filed under: Candidatus Daviesbacteria bacterium RIFCSPHIGHO2_12_FULL_43_11
Lineage: Bacteria; Candidatus Daviesiibacteriota
Description: bacterial LSU rRNA
Rfam family: Bacterial large subunit ribosomal RNA
Source: RNAcentral
UGAAACACCUCUCUUUUAAGUUUUUAAGUCUCUAGCCUCGCCCAUUAUCUGGGCGGGUAACAAGGUCUGGCGGGCAGUUUAACUGGGGCGGUUGCCUCCAAAAGAGUAACGGAGGCGUACAAAGGUACACUUGUCUCCAAUGGCAACGGAGAAUAAAGCGCAAAAGCAGAGAGUGUGCUUGAUAGUGAGACCCACAAGUCGAACUAGUGCGAAAGCAGGUUUUAGUGAUCCCUACUUUGCUUAUGGGAGCGAGUAGGCUUAUCGGAUAAAAGCUACCCCGGGGAUAACAGGCUAGUGAUACCCAACAGUCCACAAGGACGGUAUCGUUCGGCACCUCGAUGUCGGCUUAACCUUAUAUAAAGGUUUGGGUCCUCUAGUGAGAAAUUAUUAGAGCAAAUUGGCUAAUAACGGUGAACUCCUACUUGAUUUCGGGUAACCUUUGGGUUAUCUUGGAAUUAAGGGACAAUACCGUGGGAAGUCAGUUAGUAUGGAGGUUAGAUGUUAGAGGUCGGAAGAUGGAUAAAGAGAUUGGAAGUUUGAAGUUGGUAAAGUACAAUCUAUCUAGUGAUCCAAAGUUUUAAAGAUCUAAAAGUAUACCAGGAAUCGUAUGAAUUGGCUGUUUUAAUUAACAGAUCGAUUUUAAGAUUGCCAAACAGUGAGAAGUAUGAUCUGGUAGACCAGAUGCGCAGAGCAUCGAAGUCUAUACCAGCUAAUAUCGCUGAAGGGUAUGCCAAAAGAUUGUCUGAGAAAGAGUUUAAGAGAUAUCUUUUAUCAGCAACCGGAUCAUGUAAUGAAAUGUUUGUACACAUCAGUUUUGCAAAAGAUUUAGGUUUUUGGAAACCUGAAUUCUGUGAGGAUUUACUAAAACGAUAUGAUAUCGUUGGUAAACAACUCACCAGGCUAUGGCAGAACUGGAAAACCUAUCCAACAUCAAACAUCUAAAUUCAUAAUCUAUUUUCUAAUUUCUAACAUCUAACUUCUCUCUAACUUGACCCCGUAACGACUUGAUUUCAGAAGCAAUUUUUAGCGUAUCAGAUAUUGCUUAAUAAACUGAGACUAAAUAAGGGUACUAGAUAAUCUAGGUUUAAACUUUAUUUAUAUGCCAACCCCCUACCCGUACGGGAGGGGGAAGAUAUAGUCUACACUUGUAGGAAUACAAGAAUGAUGUGCAUCACAUCCUGCGGCUGAAGAAGGUCGCAAGGGUCGGGCUGUUCGCCCGUUAAAGUGGUACGCGAGCUGGGUUCAGAGCGGCGUAAGCCAGCUCGGACUCUAUCCAGUAUGGGCGUUUGGAUUCUUGAGGGAAGUUGUCUCUAGUAAACACGUUUGCCGUUUACAACGGUAAAGCAAUUUGCUACUUGGUCGAGAAAUCGAUCAUGACAAUUCGGCUAAUAACGGUGAAGCCCUCUUGAUUUUGGGUUUUAUUUGGUUCUAUAAUAAACUCAAUAGAAAAAAUCAAUGGGUAAUACCGUGGGAAGACGGUUGAUAGAAAUUAGAUGUUAGAGGUUGGAGGAUAGAUAAAGAAGUUAGAAAUUGGAGAUUGGAAAAUCCAACUUCUAUCUUCUAACAUCCUAUUCCAGCUUCUAAUUUCAAACAUCAAACUUCUAACAAUUUGUCCCUGUAACGACUUAUAUGGAAGGUACCGGAUAAUCCGGAGCAUAAACUUCCAUUACAUGCCGACUCCGUAACACUUAGGGUGACGGAGAAGAUAUAGUCUGAUCCUCAGCGAAAGCUGAGAAAACAUAAUGACGAGAGGACCGAGAUGAGGAAACCUCUAGUGUGCCGGUUGUACCAAAAGUGCAGCGCCGGGUAGCUACGUUUCUUCCUGAUAAGCGCUGAAAGCAUCUAAGCACGAAGCAGAUCCCAAGAUUAGGAAUCCUUAAGCAGAGC